UACGAAGGUGGCAAGCGUUACUCGGAAUUACUAGGCGUAAAGGGCAGGUAGGUGGUUUGGUUAGUCUGUUGUGAAAGCUCCUUGCUCAACGGGGAGAGGUCAACAGAUACUGCCAGACUUGAGUCUAGGAGAGGGUACUGGAAUUCCCGGUGUAGCGGUGAAAUGCGCAGAGAUCGGGAGGAACACCAAUGGCGAAAGCAGGUACCUGGACUAGUACUGACACUCAGCUGCGAAAGCUAGGGGAGCAAACAGG
This 253-nucleotide ribosomal RNA is filed under the name uncultured bacterium. Its description in RNAcentral is "partial 16S ribosomal RNA". It matches the Rfam family "Bacterial small subunit ribosomal RNA", at positions 524 to 776 of the family's 1533-position model. The record is from RNAcentral.